Molecule: ribosomal RNA, 1492 nt
Filed under: Lactiplantibacillus plantarum
Lineage: Bacteria; Bacillati; Bacillota; Bacilli; Lactobacillales; Lactobacillaceae
Description: Lactobacillus plantarum partial 16S ribosomal RNA
Rfam family: Bacterial small subunit ribosomal RNA
Source: RNAcentral
GACGGACGCUGGCGGCGUGCCUAAUACAUGCAAGUCGAACGAACUCUGGUAUUGAUUGGUGCUUGCAUCAUGAUUUACAUUUGAGUGAGUGGCGAACUGGUGAGUAACACGUGGGAAACCUGCCCAGAAGCGGGGGAUAACACCUGGAAACAGAUGCUAAUACCGCAUAACAACUUGGACCGCAUGGUCCGAGCUUGAAAGAUGGCUUCAGCUAUCACUUUUGGAUGGUCCCGCGGCGUAUUAGCUAGAUGGUGGGGUAACGGCUCACCAUGGCAAUGAUACGUAGCCGACCUGAGAGGGUAAUCGGCCACAUUGGGACUGAGACACGGCCCAAACUCCUACGGGAGGCAGCAGUAGGGAAUCUUCCACAAUGGACGAAAGUCUGAUGGAGCAACGCCGCGUGAGUGAAGAAGGGUUUCGGCUCGUAAAACUCUGUUGUUAAAGAAGAACAUAUCUGAGAGUAACUGUUCAGGUAUUGACGGUAUUUAACCAGAAAGCCACGGCUAACUACGUGCCAGCAGCCGCGGUAAUACGUAGGUGGCAAGCGUUGUCCGGAUUUAUUGGGCGUAAAGCGAGCGCAGGCGGUUUUUUAAGUCUGAUGUGAAAGCCUUCGGCUCAACCGAAGAAGUGCAUCGGAAACUGGGAAACUUGAGUGCAGAAGAGGACAGUGGAACUCCAUGUGUAGCGGUGAAAUGCGUAGAUAUAUGGAAGAACACCAGUGGCGAARGCGGCUGUCUGGUCUGUAACUGACGCUGAGGCUCGAAAGUAUGGGUAGCAAACAGGAUUAGAUACCCUGGUAGUCCAUACCGUAAACGAUGAAUGCUAAGUGUUGGAGGGUUUCCGCCCUUCAGUGCUGCAGCUAACGCAUUAAGCAUUCCGCCUGGGGAGUACGGCCGCAAGGCUGAAACUCAAAGGAAUUGACGGGGGCCCGCACAAGCGGUGGAGCAUGUGGUUUAAUUCGAAGCUACGCGAAGAACCUUACCAGGUCUUGACAUACUAUGCAAAUCUAAGAGAUUAGACGUUCCCUUCGGGGACAUGGAUACAGGUGGUGCAUGGUUGUCGUCAGCUCGUGUCGUGAGAUGUUGGGUUAAGUCCCGCAACGAGCGCAACCCUUAUUAUCAGUUGCCAGCAUUAAGUUGGGCACUCUGGUGAGACUGCCGGUGACAAACCGGAGGAAGGUGGGGAUGACGUCAAACCAUCAUGCCCCUUAUGACCUGGGCUACACACGUGCUACAAUGGAUGGUACAACGAGUUGCGAACUCGCGAGAGUAAGCUAAUCUCUUAAAGCCAUUCUCAGUUCGGAUUGUAGGCUGCAACUCGCCUACAUGAAGUCGGAAUCGCUAGUAAUCGCGGAUCAGCAUGCCGCGGUGAAUACGUUCCCGGGCCUUGUACACACCGCCCGUCACACCAUGAGAGUUUGUAACACCCAAAGUCGGUGGGGUAACCUUUUAGGAACCAGCCGCCUAAGGUGGGACAGAUGAUUAGGGUGAAG